GAAGUAAAAGUCGUAACAAGGUUUCCGUAGGUGAACCUGCGGAAGGAUCAUUAACGAGAGUGGGACCCCGCGUCCCCCGGGGCUUCGGCCCCGACUCUUCACCCUUUGCGUACCUACCAUUGUUGCUUCGGCGGGCCGUCGUUCGCGCCGCGAUGCACGAGGGUUAUCCCCCAGGCCCCGCGUGAGCCCGCCGGAGGCCCUUUUAAACCCGUUAUCAGUGCCGUCCGAGGAGAAAUUCAAUAACUAAAACUUUCAACAACGGAUCUCUUGGUUCUGGCAUCGAUGAAGAACGCAGCGAAAUGCGAUAAGUAAUGUGAAUUGCAGAAUUCAGUGAAUCAUCGAAUCUUUGAACGCACAUUGCGCCCCUUGGUAUUCCGAGGGGCAUGCCUGUUCGAGCGUCAUUGCAACCCUCAAGCACUGCUUGGUCGUGGGUCUCGUCCGCAGGGACGUGCCCGAAAGUAAGUGGCGGUCCAGCGAGGACUCCGGGCGUAGUAAACUAUUUCCCGCCCAGGGACGUUCCCGCAGUGGCCGGCCAGCCAACCCCAAAUUUUCAAUGGUUGACCUCGGAUCAGGUAGGGAUACCCGCUGAACUUAAGCAUAUCAAUAAGCGGAGGAAAAGAAACCAACAGGGAUUGCCUCAGUAACGGCGAGUGAAGCGGCAACAGCUCAAAUUUGAAAUCUGACCCCUUCGGGGCCCGAGUUGUAAUUUGUAGAGGAUGUUUCGGGCGCGGCGCCGGUCUAAGUUCCUUGGAACAGGACGUCAUAGAGGGUGAGAAUCCCGUAUGCGACCGGCGAUCAACCCCAUGUGAAACCCCUUCGACGAGUCGAGUUGUUUGGGAAUGCAGCUCAAAAUGGGUGGUAAAUUUCAUCUAAAGCUAAAUACCGGCCAGAGACCGAUAGUGCACAAGUAGAGUGAUCGAAAGAUGAAAAGCACUU
Molecule: ribosomal RNA, 936 nt
Filed under: Porpidia contraponenda
Lineage: Eukaryota; Fungi; Ascomycota; Lecanoromycetes; Lecideales; Lecideaceae
Description: eukaryotic LSU rRNA
Rfam family: Eukaryotic large subunit ribosomal RNA (bases 559-936)
Source: RNAcentral